GAACGGUAACAGAGAAUAGCUUGCUAUUUUGCUGACGAGUGGCGGACGGGUGAGUAAUGCUUGGGAAUAUGCCUUAUGGUGGGGGACAACAGUUGGAAACGACUGCUAAUACCGCAUAACAUCUCCGGAUCAAAGUGGGGGACCUUCGGGCCUCACGCCAUAAGAGUAGCCCAAGUGGGAUUAGCUAGUUGGUAAGGUAAUGGCUUACCAAGGCGACGAUCCCUAGUUGGUCUUAGAGGAUGACCAGCCACACUGGAACUGAGACACGGUCCAGACUCCUACGGGAGGCAGCAGUGGGGAAUAUUGCACAAUGGGCGCAAGCCUGAUGCAGCCAUGCCGCGUGUGUGAAGAAGGCUUUCGGGUUGUAAAGCACUUUCAGCGAGGAGGAAAGGUUGUACUUUAAUAGAGUGCAGCUGUGACGUUACUCGCAGAAGAAGCACCGGCUAACUCCGUGCCAGCAGCCGCGGUAAUACGGAGGGUGCGAGCGUUAAUCGGAAUUACUGGGCGUAAAGCGCGCGUAGGUGGUUAAUUAAGUCAGAUGUGAAAUCCCAGGGCUCAACCUUGGAACUGCAUUUGAAACUGGUUGACUAGAGUUUUGUAGAGGGUGGUAGAAUUUCAGGUGUAGCGGUGAAAUGCGUAGAGAUCUGAAGGAAUACCAGUGGCGAAGGCGGCCACCUGGACAAAGACUGACACUGAGGCGCGAAGGCGUGGGGAGCAAACGGGAUUAGAUACCCCGGUAGUCCACGCAGUAAACGAUGUCUAUUAGAAUUUUGUGGCUAUAUGCCGUGGGAUUCAAAGCUAACGCAUUAAAUAGACCGCCUGGGGAGUACGGCCGCAAGGUUAAAACUCAA
RNAcentral lists this ribosomal RNA (851 nucleotides) under Psychromonas arctica. RNAcentral describes it as "bacterial SSU rRNA". It matches the Rfam family "Bacterial small subunit ribosomal RNA", at positions 64 to 904 of the family's 1533-position model. Lineage: Bacteria; Pseudomonadati; Pseudomonadota; Gammaproteobacteria; Alteromonadales; Psychromonadaceae. The record is from RNAcentral.